Molecule: non-coding RNA, 216 nt
Organism: Pelobates cultripes (western spadefoot toad)
Lineage: Eukaryota; Metazoa; Chordata; Amphibia; Anura; Pelobatidae
Source: the annotation of a GenBank genome assembly
GAUAAUUAGCAAUGUGAACAGAUUCAACCUGCUCGUUAUAGAAGAAGAGUUGUGAGACUUAGAGGGUCUUGGAAGACUUGAAGUGUGUGUUAAAGGGCUGAAGAUCAUGUUUGGGGUAAAAUUGAUCACUUUUAACCUUCUUUCUUCUGCCUUACAUGGAUAUUCUAUACCAAGUAUCAGUAUGGUUGUACCUCUAGUUUAGUAAAGAGGAAGGUU